GAUGUGAGCAAACUAAAAAUGCAGAGACAGAAGGUGAAACAAGUUGCACUGAGUGAAUUGCAGCUAUAUUUAAAAUACCAUUAUUUGUGAUCAGCAAGUACAAUUUUGCCAAAUUCAGGCUGAACUGGAGAAGCCAAAUUCUCAGAACAAUAUGGUUAAAUGUUCUGCUAUAUACUUUAAAAUUAGUUAGACCUACAGUUCAUAUGUAUUUAAUAUAAAAGUUCCUCUUGAAUGAGGUUUUGGCUUUGCAUUAUUUGGAAGCUACAAAAAUAAUCUUUUAUGAAAGUAGCUGAGCAAACUUGCAAGAAGAUUUUUUUCUAAAGAGAAUACAAUAUUAAAACUUGUAGUUAAAAAGGAGAUUAUUGUGGAUUUCCUUUGCACCUUGUUUACAUAUGAAGGGGAGUUCCAGGUCAACUGGAGUGCUAUAUUAAAGUAUAUUGAGAGCUUUUGUUUCUGUGUGCUGUCCUGUUGGUUGUCUUGAUGCUGCCAUGGUUAGUGCAAGUCUUCUUGCUGAAUCUGAGAAAGAACAUAAAUGUUCUAGAUGGUUGGACUCAAUGAUCUUAAAGGUCUUUUCCAACCAAAACUAUGAUUUUAUGAUUCUGUGUGACAGUGGCUGCACUCAGACUUGGGAGAGACACAACCUGCUGUCCACAAAGGGGUGUACCUGACUGUCAACUUUGGCAGAUGGAGUAAUUUAAAGACAUUGAGGACAGGUCAAGCACAAGGAUAGCUGAAGCUUGCCAGCUUCUAUGCAGCAAAUGGUGAGUGAGGAAUAUGAACACUACAGAGAAUACUUGCAAGUUUAAAAGGAUCAGGAUGGAUUUUUGAUAUCCAUGAAAUCUGACACAUCACACUGGUAACAACAGCAUGGCAGAGAGCAGCUGAUAGAGGAAUCAAAUUCACCACAAAUCAAAACUAAGAGUGAGCUUAUUCCAAAUUCAGAAGGUCCUUGCAGCAGUGAGGCUUCUGUCAACUAUAUGAGCAUGACCUCAUUCUUUGCCCGCAGAGAAGAUACAUUUCAGCCUAAUUCUUUACUUCUUGGAUUGCAGCAUUUAUUGUUACCAUCUCUCUGCAUCUGCUCUCCUUAACCCCAAGCAUCUUUGUAGCACGUAUAUUCUGGCACCAUUUAGUAUAUCAGGUGUUAUAAGCAAAUUUUAUAUCUGUUCUGCAGUUUAUCAGGAGUGUCUUAUUAAGUGCAGGUACUUUAACUGAAGAGUAGUAUUAUGCUGCUUUAGAAUGCCUUUAAAUCAGAAUUACAAAACGUUCAGCAGUAACCUUAUAAACUGAUGGUUCACUGAUGGGUAGGUCAAUCAAAAUACUUAUUUGUUAAGCAACUUCUCAGUUCAUUAGUGCUAAUCCUGGAAUUAAUUGGUGUGACCUGCUCACCUAGACACAUGAUCCUAUUGAAAAAAGCAGAAUUUUUUUUGUGGUCUUCAAAAAUUGCCCCAUGAUCUAGGUUUUUUCAGCUUCUCAAUACUAUUUUUCCCCAUUUAAAGUAAUGCUGAAGUAGAAUGCUGUAUAAAGGGAAUCAAGGCAUUAUUUUAAUACAGUAGUACAUUUUUGGUGUGUUAAUUUUUUAUAGAUGCACUAAGAAUGUGUUAUUUUGAAUAGGAAAAAAAAGGUGUAUGUGAAUUAAGUAACAUUACUGCAGAGAUACCAACCUCUUUCUACAGUUAAUCAUGGAAUCGAUGGGUAUAUGGAAAAGAAAAUCGAUAUACUCCCAAGAUAGAAACCAGAUGUGGAAUUCCUUUAUGGAGAUAAAACAACACAAUUCACUGUACAUUUGACUUAAAUCUGGAGAGGGUGGGAGGAAAAGAGACAGUUAUGUGAUUUGUUCUGCAAAUAUUUAUUUUUAUAUGGCUUCCAUCCUUUUCCUCCUUUCUUUCUGUUUCUUUUUUACUUAAGGAAUGAAAUGUCUAUUUUUGAAAUCAAAUCGUGGCUGUAGAAGGAGUUAUCUUCUGUAGGAAUACAAACUCCCAAGACCACAGACAAAGUAAUAUUAACUAGAGACACAGACUUUCCAAGAAGCUAAGUUAAACAUCUUAAAUCAGCAUUAAGACUCUGAAAGAUGACAGGAUACAGUGUACCCUCAGGAAGUCUGCUCAUGAUACCAAACUGGGAAGAUUAGCUGGCACACCCAAAGGCUGUGCUGCCAUUCAGAGAGAUCUGGAUAGGCUGGAGAGUUGAAGAGAGAGGAAGCAAAUGGAAUUCAACAAGGCGAAAUGUAGAGCCCUACACCUGGGCAAGAAUAACCCCAUACACCAGUACAGCUCAGGGGUUGAUCUGCUAGAGAGCAGGUCCAUGGAGAAUAGCCUUGAAGACCCGGUGCACAGUAAGUUGACCACAAGAGAGUAAUGUGUUCUUGUAGCCAAAAGGGACAAUGGUACCUUGGGGUGCAUUAAGAAAAGUGUGACCAUCAGGUUAAGGGAGGUUGUCCCGUCCCUCUACUCUGCCCACUGAGGCCUCAUAUGGAGUAUUAUAUCCAGCUCUGGGCUGCCCAGUUCAAGAAGGACAGGGAACUACUAAAGAGAGUCCAAUGGAGGGCUAUAGGGAUGGUGAGGAAAGGCUGAGAGACCUGGGGCUGUUUAGUCUGGAAGAGAGAAGGAUGAGAGGAGAUUUGAUCAAUGUUCAGAAAUAUCUUAAGGACGGACAUCAAGAAGACAGGGCUAGCCUCUUUUCAAUGGUGCCCAAUAAUAGAAUGAAGGGCAACAGGUACAAACUGGAACACAGGAAGUUUCACCUCAACAUGAAGAAAAACAUUUUUAAGGGGAGGGUGACAGAGGAUUGGAACAGGCUGUUCUGAGAAGUUGUAGUCUGCUUCUCUGUAGAUUUUCAAAACCCAACUGGAUGCAUUCCUGUGUGGCCUGCUCUGUGAUCCUCAUUUGGCAGGGGAGCUGGACUAGAUGAUCUUCAGAGGAUCCCUUCCAACUCCUAUCAUACUGUCAAUUUGUGAAAGACAAUUUGAGCAAAGAAGACAGGAAAGUGCAAUUUGCUGAGAAGACUUCAGCUGUGUAUAAUCAGAAACACUGAAAGGAAUGGACAUUUCCUUGGGUUUAUUGGUCUUUUCUCCCAGGCAACCAGCAACAGGACAAGGGGACACAGUCUCAAGUUGUGCCGGGGAGGUCUAGGCUGGAUUUUAGAAGGAAGUUCUUCCCAGAGAGAGUGAUUUGCCAUUGGAAUGGGCUGCCCAGGGAGGUGGUGGA
Long non-coding RNA from Pogoniulus pusillus (Red-fronted tinkerbird), 3203 nucleotides. RefSeq lists it as uncharacterized. NCBI's taxonomy places the organism in Eukaryota, Metazoa, Chordata, Aves, Piciformes, Lybiidae. The record is from RefSeq and is a predicted model, not a curated record. The transcript has 4 exons.